ACGAAGGGGGCUAGCGUUGUUCGGAAUCACUGGGCGUAAAGGGCGCGUAGGCGGCUUUAUAAGUCGGGGGUGAAAGCCUGUGGCUCAACCACAGAAUUGCCUUCGAUACUGUAGAGCUUGAGACCGGAAGAGGUAAGUGGAACUGCGAGUGUAGAGGUGAAAUUCGUAGAUAUUCGCAAGAACACCAGUGGCGAAGGCGGCUUACUGGCUCGUAACUGACGCUCAUGCACGACAGCGUGGGGAUCAAACAGGA
RNAcentral lists this ribosomal RNA (253 nucleotides) under uncultured prokaryote. RNAcentral's name for it is "partial 16S ribosomal RNA". It matches the Rfam family "Bacterial small subunit ribosomal RNA", at positions 525 to 777 of the family's 1533-position model. The record is from RNAcentral.